RNAcentral lists this ribosomal RNA (389 nucleotides) under uncultured Exobasidiomycetes. RNAcentral's name for it is "partial small subunit ribosomal RNA". It matches the Rfam family "Eukaryotic small subunit ribosomal RNA", at positions 30 to 432 of the family's 1831-position model. Lineage: Eukaryota; Fungi; Basidiomycota; Exobasidiomycetes. The record is from RNAcentral.
GCUUGUCUCAAAGAUUAAGCCAUGCAUGUCUAAGUAUAAGCAACUUUGUACUGUGAAACUGCGAAUGGCUCAUUAAAUCAGUUAUAGUUUAUUUGAUGGUUUUUGCUACAUGGAUAACUGUGGUAAUUCUAGAGCUAAUACAUGCAUUCAAGCCCCGACUUCUGGAAGGGGUGUAUUUAUUAGAUAAAAAUCAACUUUGUUGGUGAAUCAUAAUAACUUCUCGGACCGCAUGGCCUCGUGCUGGCGGUGCUUCAUUCAAAUAUCUGCCCUAUCAACUGUCGAUGGUAGGAUAGAGGCCUACCAUGGUUGCAACGGGUAACGGGGAAUAAGGGUUCGAUUCCGGAGAGGGAGCCUGAGAAACGGCUACCACAUCCAAGGAAGGCAGCAGG